Molecule: ribosomal RNA, 253 nt
Filed under: uncultured bacterium
Lineage: Bacteria
Description: partial 16S ribosomal RNA
Rfam family: Bacterial small subunit ribosomal RNA
Source: RNAcentral
UACGGGGGGGGCAAGCGUUGUUCGGAAUUACUGGGCGUAAAGGGCUCGUAGGUGGCCAACUAAGUCAGACGUGAAAUCCCCGGGCUCAACCUGGGAAUUGCAUUCGAAACUGCGAGGCUAGGGUACGGAAGAGGGAAGCGGAAUUUCUGGUGUAGCGGUGAAAUGCGUAGAUAUCAGAAGGAACAUCAGUGGCGAAAGCGGCUUCCUGGUCCAGUACCGACGUUCAGGCACGAAAGCGUGGGGAGCAAACAGG